AGUGAACGCUGGCGGUAGGCCUAACACAUGCAAGUCGAACGGCAGCACAGUAAGAGCUUGCUCUUACGGGUGGCGAGUGGCGGACGGGUGAGGAAUACAUCGAAAUCUACUUUUUCGUGGGGGAUAACGUAGGGAAACUUACGCUAAUACCGCAUACGACCUACGGGUGAAAGCAGGGGAUCUUCGGACCUUGCGCGAUUGAAUGAGCCGAUGUCGGAUUAGCUAGUUGGCGGGGUAAAGGCCCACCAAGGCGACGAUCCGUAGCUGGUCUGAGAGGAUGAUCAGCCACACUGGAACUGAGACACGGUCCAGACUCCUACGGGAGGCAGCAGUGGGGAAUAUUGGACAAUGGGCGCAAGCCUGAUCCAGCCAUACCGCGUGGGUGAAGAAGGCCUUCGGGUUGUAAAGCCCUUUUGUUGGGAAAGAAAAGCAGCAGGUUAAUACCCCGCCGUUCUGACGGUACCCAAAGAAUAAGCACCGGCUAACUUCGUG
This 492-nucleotide ribosomal RNA is filed under the name uncultured bacterium. RNAcentral's name for it is "partial 16S ribosomal RNA". It matches the Rfam family "Bacterial small subunit ribosomal RNA", at positions 29 to 507 of the family's 1533-position model. The record is from RNAcentral.